GACGAACGCUGGCGGCGUGCCUAAUACAUGCAAGUUGAGCGCUGAAGGUUGGUACUUGUACCGACUGGAUGAGCAGCGAACGGGUGAGUAACGCGUGGGGAAUCUGCCUUUGAGCGGGGGACAACAUUUGGAAACGAAUGCUAAUACCGCAUAAAAACUUUAAACACAAGUUUUAAGUUUGAAAGAUGCAAUUGCAUCACUCAAAGAUGAUCCCGCGUUGUAUUAGCUAGUUGGUGAGGUAAAGGCUCACCAAGGCGAUGAUACAUAGCCGACCUGAGAGGGUGAGCGGCCACAUUGGGACUGAGACACGGCCCAAACUCCUACGGGAGGCAGCAGUAGGGAAUCUUCGGCAAUGGACGAAAGUCUGACCGAGCAACGCCGCGUGAGUGAAGAAGGGUUUCGGAUCGUAAAACUCUGUUGGUAGAGAAGAACGUUGGUGAGAGUGGAAAGCUCAUCAAGUGACGGUAACUACCCAGAAAGGGACGGCUAACUACGUG
This 497-nucleotide ribosomal RNA is filed under the name uncultured bacterium. Its description in RNAcentral is "partial 16S ribosomal RNA". It matches the Rfam family "Bacterial small subunit ribosomal RNA", at positions 28 to 507 of the family's 1533-position model. The record is from RNAcentral.